This 508-nucleotide ribosomal RNA is filed under the name uncultured Glomus. RNAcentral's name for it is "SSU rRNA". It matches the Rfam family "Eukaryotic small subunit ribosomal RNA", at positions 569 to 1078 of the family's 1831-position model. The record is from RNAcentral. Lineage: Eukaryota; Fungi; Glomeromycota; Glomeromycetes; Glomerales; Glomeraceae.
AGCAGCCGCGGUAAUUCCAGCUCCAAUAGCGUAUAUUAAAGUUGUUGCAGUUAAAAAGCUCGUAGUUGAAUUUCGGGGUUAGUAGGUUGGUCAUGCCUCUGGUAUGUACUGGUCUCACUGAUUCCUCCUUCCUGAUGAGCCGUAAUGCCAUUAAUUUGGUGUUACGGGGAAUUAGGACUGUUACCUUGAAAAAAUUAGAGUGUUUAAAGCAGGCUCACGCUUGAAUACAUUAGCAUGGAAUAAUGAAAUAGGACAUCCGAUUCUAUUUUGUUGGUUUCUAGGAUCGAUGUAAUGAUUAAUAGGGAUAGUUGGGGGCAUUAGUAUUCAAUUGUCAGAGGUGAAAUUCUUGGAUUUAUUGAAGACUAACAACUGCGAAAGCAUUUGCCAAGGAUGUUUUCAUUAAUCAAGAACGAAAGUUAGGGGAUCGAAGACGAUCAGAUACCGUCGUAGUCUUAACCAUAAACUAUGCCGACUAGGGAUCGGAUGAUGUUAAUUUUUUAAUGACUCA